This 194-nucleotide ribosomal RNA is filed under the name uncultured bacterium. RNAcentral describes it as "partial 16S ribosomal RNA". It matches the Rfam family "Bacterial small subunit ribosomal RNA", at positions 338 to 524 of the family's 1533-position model. The record is from RNAcentral.
CCUACGGGAGGCAGCAGUGGGGAAUAUUGGACAAUGGGCGAAAGCCUGAUCCAGCCAUGCCGCGUGUGUGAAGAAGGUCUUCGGAUUGUAAAGCACUUUAAGUUGGGAGGAAGGGCAGUAAGAUAAUACCUUGCUGUUUUGACGUUACCGACAGAAUAAGCACCGGCUAACUCUGUGCCAGCAGCCGCGGUAAU